GUUGAAACACCGGUUCCCGUACGAAUCACAGAAGUUAAGCAACGUAGAGCCUACUCAGUAGUUUGAUGGGUGUUCGCCUUGGAAGAAAAGAUGCCGCAAG
This is a non-coding RNA of Acanthosepion pharaonis, 100 nucleotides long. NCBI's taxonomy places the organism in Eukaryota, Metazoa, Mollusca, Cephalopoda, Sepiida, Sepiidae. The record is from the annotation of a GenBank genome assembly.